GUGGGGAAUUUUGGACAAUGGGCGCAAGCCUGAUCCAGCAAUGCCGCGUGCAGGAAGAAGGCCUUCGGGUUGUAAACUGCUUUUGUACGGAACGAAAAGGCUCUGGUUAAUACCUGGGGCUCAUGACGGUACCGUAAGAAUAAGCACCGGCUAACUACGUGCCAGCAGCCGCGGUAAUACGUAGGGUGCAAGCGUUAAUCGGAAUUACUGGGCGUAAAGCGUGCGCAGGCGGUUUUGUAAGACAGACGUGAAAUCCCCGGGCUCAACCUGGGGAUGGCGUUGGUGACUGCAAAGCUGGAGUGCGGCAGAGGGGGAUGGAAUUCCGCGUGUAGCAGUGAAAUGCGUAGAUAUGCGGAGGAACACCGAUGGCGAAGGCAAUCCCCUGGGCCUGCACUGACGCUCAUGCACGAAAGCGUGGGGAGCAAACAGGAUUAGAUACCCUUGUAGUCU
RNAcentral lists this ribosomal RNA (450 nucleotides) under uncultured bacterium. RNAcentral's name for it is "partial 16S ribosomal RNA". It matches the Rfam family "Bacterial small subunit ribosomal RNA", at positions 354 to 796 of the family's 1533-position model. The record is from RNAcentral.